This 1351-nucleotide ribosomal RNA is filed under the name Sicyonia lancifer. Its description in RNAcentral is "16S ribosomal RNA". The stretch from base 640 to 1351 matches the Rfam family "Archaeal large subunit ribosomal RNA", at positions 1423 to 2832 of the family's 2987-position model. Lineage: Eukaryota; Metazoa; Arthropoda; Malacostraca; Decapoda; Sicyoniidae. The record is from RNAcentral.
AAAGAAAUCUUGUUUAUGUAAAACAUUUUGUUCAAUGUAAAUUGAAAUAUUAAAAAUAUUUUUAAAAAAUAAAUAAAUCUUAGUUAUUUAAAGUUAAAAGGUAUUUUAAACUAUAGCGUAAAGUACUGUAAAGGAACGAUGAAAUAAAUGAAAAUUAAAUUGAUUAACAGUAACUAUAAAAAAUUGUACCUUGUGUAUCAGGGAAAAUCAAAAUUAAUUAAAUAUUUUAAAUUUCCCGAAAGAAGGAGAGCUAACUUAAAAUAAAGUUUUCGUUUCAAAGAAAUUUUAAAGUUUAUGUUAGUAGUGAAAUGCUAAACGUUCCUUUAUUAUCUGGUUUUUAACGAAUUAAAUUAAAUUUAGGUAUUGUCAAGUACUGAUGAUAAUAACAAAAAAUUGGAGGGAAAGCUUCUAGUUUUAAAAACUGUAAAAAAAAUAAAAAUUAAUUAUGUAAUUAGGCUUAAAAGCAGCAAAAUUGUUAAAGCGUUCUAGCUAACAUAAUAAGUAAAAUUAUUUUUAUUAAUUACUUCGGUUUUAGUAGUUAACAAAUUUUAUAAACAUAACUAUAAAAAGUUAUAAUGAUUUUAUUAGUAGAAAAUGUUGUGAAAGUUUAGUAAAAUAAAAUAAACAAAAAAAAUUAUAACUUAAAAAAUAUUUAACUAAGGAACUCGGCAAACAAUAUUUUUGCCUGUUUAUCAAAAACAUGUCUGUAUGAGUUAAAAUAUAGAGUCUGGCCUGCCCACUGAGUUAAAAGUUCUUAAAGGGCCGCGGUACUUUGACCGUGCGAAGGUAGCAUAAUCAUUAGUCUUUUAAUUGAAGGCUAGAAUGAACGGUUGGACAAAAAAUAAGCUGUCUCAGUUAAAAUUCUUGAAUUUAACCUUUAAGUGAAAAGGCUUAAAUAAAUCGGGGGGACGAUAAGACCCUAUAAAGCUUUACAAACCCUUUUUUUAGUUAAAAAUUAUAAGUGUAAACUAACUUAAAAAUUAUUUGUUUCGUUGGGGCGACGAGAAUAUAAUUUAGUAACUGUUCUUUUAAAAUAUUACAGUAUUAGUUGAUUGAAAAUUGAUCCCUUAAUAAGGAUUAAAAGUUUAAGUUACUUUAGGGAUAACAGCGUAAUCUUUUUUGAGAGUCCAUAUCGACAAAAAGGGUUGCGACCUCGAUGUUGAAUUAAGGGAUCCUUGUAGUGUAGCAGUUAUAAAGGAAGGUCUGUUCGACCUUUAAUUCCUUACAUGAUUUGAGUUCAGACCGGCGUAAGCCAGGUUGGUUUCUAUCUCUCGAAAUUUAAAAAGUUAUCUUAGUACGAAAGGAUUAGAUAGCUCAAAUAAUUUGAAAAAAAGGAACAAUAUUAAUCAGU